CAGCCCGCUCCCGGUAAAACGGGACGGCCCGCCAGAGGACCCCUAAACUCUGUUUCUAUAUGUAACUUCUGAGUAAAACCAUAAAUAAAUCAAAACUUUCAACAACGGAUCUCUUGGUUCUGGCAUCGAUGAAGAACGCAGCAAAAUGCGAUAAGUAAUGUGAAUUGCAGAAUUCAGUGAAUCAUCGAAUCUUUGAACGCACAUUGCGCCCGCCAGUAUUCUGGCGGGCAUGCCUGUUCGAGCGUCAUUUCAACCCUCAAGCACAGCUUGGUGUUGGGACUCGCGUUAAUUCGCGUUCCCCAAAUUGAUUGGCGGUCACGUCGAGCUUCCAUAGCGUAGUAGUAAAACCCUCGUUACUGGUAAUCGUCGCGGCCACGCCGUUAAACCCCAACUUCUGAAUGUUGACCUCGGAUCAGGUAGGAAUACCCGCUGAACUUAAGCAUAUCAA
This 448-nucleotide ribosomal RNA is filed under the name Fusarium oxysporum. Its description in RNAcentral is "eukaryotic LSU rRNA". The stretch from base 94 to 247 matches the Rfam family "5.8S ribosomal RNA". Lineage: Eukaryota; Fungi; Ascomycota; Sordariomycetes; Hypocreales; Nectriaceae. The record is from RNAcentral.